RNA transcript from Mirounga angustirostris (Northern elephant seal), 1312 nucleotides. RefSeq lists it as uncharacterized. The transcript is spliced from 2 exons. NCBI's taxonomy places the organism in Eukaryota, Metazoa, Chordata, Mammalia, Carnivora, Phocidae. The record is from RefSeq and is a predicted model, not a curated record.
AUGUGUCUAGAUUGUGACCAUGUCUGGUCACAGCUUAGAGGGCUAGCCGUAGACAUUGUCAAAAGAAUGCUAUUUCCUGUAGGUUUUAUAUCCAAGAAGCCGGUUGAGAGUACCCUGGUUAGUGGAGCCUAUAAGCUAUCAGCAACUAUGCGCCCCGCCAAGGCAUGCCCCCUGGAUCGGGCCAUUGGCUUCCUCGUGGCCAUCUUCCAUAAGUACUCAGGCAGGGAAGGCAACAAGAACAGGCUGAGCAAGGAGCUGAAGGCAGUGAUCCAGGAAAACUCACCAUUGGCCCAAAGGGGCAGGAUGCUGACUUUGCAAGCUGAUGGAAGACCUGUAUGUGAGAAAGGACCAGGUGGUAAACUUCCGGGAAUAUGUCACCUUCCCUGGGGGCCUUGGCUUUGAUCUACAAUGAUACCCUUAGGGCUGAAAAUAAAUCAGGAAGGUGGAGACACCCACUAUCUGGACUGCCUAAGUUAAAUCCAGUGGUGGGUAAUUGUUCAAUAAAUACCUUUUCUUGGUCAAAAAAAAAAGGUAUUUUCUGAUCAUUACUUAAUUGAUACUAUCUCUUGGAGAUACUAUUUUUCUAUUAAAUAAGAAAAUAAGAAUUUUUUUCUGUUAUCAUAAGAGAAUGUCUUUUUUAAAUAUUCAAUUUCUGGGCAAUACCAGUAAAUGGAAACUAGAAAUAUUGUAAAUGAAUUCCAUGAUACCACCAAUCAAGAGUUUUACCCAGAAAUUCAAAGGUAGCUUCAAUAUAAAUUAAUCUUAUAAUGUAAUAUUUCACUUAUUGGAAUACAAAUUUAGUAAUGUUAAUCAUUCCUAAUAAAAUUGAGAGUGGUAAAAUAUUUUUGGCAUAUUAAGACACACACUAAAACUAUAAAGAUAUUAGAUACAAAGGGCAAGAACUAAACUAGGAUUCCUGUUAUUACUAAGAAAAAUUGCUUUCUCAAUUUUAUUAAGGAAAUGAGAUAUGAAAGAGAAAUGAAUAAUAUAGAAAGAGGGGAAAUAAAAGUAUGAUUAUUUGUAUGCAACAUAUUUUUUUCCUAGUAAGUCCCAAGGCAUAUACUUAGGUGGCUCAAAAAGAACAACAUCAACAGAAUGAAAAUUCAAAACCAUUGCUAUGUUCCUGCCAUCUGUAUGUUAAAAAAAAUUCUAAAAACAACAACAAAGUUAACAAUUUGGAAAUAAACUUAGGAGGAUAUAUAUAGGUUCUUUAAAUAAAAUGUUAAACAAUAAUUUUAUAUAUUUAAUUUUGAUCAAAAAGUCAAUAGUUGCUUAGAAGUUUCAGGGCCAAAAAAAAAAAAAAAACCCACCA